GUCGGUGAUGACCAGUCCAACCAAUUGAGGUGUAGGGAGCUCCAAGUCCCUGUGCUACAGGGAGAACCUGCUUGGAGUUUCUACAUUCAAAUGCUAUUUUGGGACUUGUCUGAGGG
RNAcentral lists this small nucleolar RNA (116 nucleotides) under Ananas comosus (pineapple). RNAcentral's name for it is "Small nucleolar RNA Z278". It matches the Rfam family "Small nucleolar RNA Z278". Rfam says of the family: snoZ278 is a C/D box small nucleolar RNA. Its methylation guide targets have not been reported. Lineage: Eukaryota; Viridiplantae; Streptophyta; Magnoliopsida; Poales; Bromeliaceae. The record is from Rfam by way of RNAcentral.